This 1470-nucleotide ribosomal RNA is filed under the name metagenome. RNAcentral's name for it is "bacterial SSU rRNA". It matches the Rfam family "Bacterial small subunit ribosomal RNA". The record is from RNAcentral.
AGAGUUUGAUCCUGGCUCAGGACGAGCGCUGGCGGCACGCUUAACACAUGCAAGUCGAACGAGAGAAGAGGAGCUUGCUUUUCUGAUCUAGUGGCGGACGGGUGAGUAACACGUGAGCAAUCUGCCUUUCAGAGGGGGAUACCGAUUGGAAACGAUCGUUAAUACCGCAUAACAUAAUUGAACCGCAUGAUUUGAUUAUCAAAGAUUUAUCGCUGAAAGAUGAGCUCGCGUCUGAUUAGCUAGUUGGUAAGGUAACGGCUUACCAAGGCGACGAUCAGUAGCCGGACUGAGAGGUUGAUCGGCCACAUUGGGACUGAGACACGGCCCAGACUCCUACGGGAGGCAGCAGUGGGGAAUAUUGUACAAUGGAGGAAACUCUGAUGCAGCGAUGCCGCGUGAGGGGAGAAGGUUUUAGGACUGUAAACCUCUGUCUUCAGGGACGAAAAAAGACGGUACCUGAGGAGGAAGCUCCGGCUAACUACGUGCCAGCAGCCGCGGUAAUACGUAGGGAGCGAGCGUUGUCCGGAAUUACUGGGUGUAAAGGGAGCGUAGGCGGGAUCGCAAGUCAGAUGUGAAAACUAUGGGCUUAACCCAUAAACUGCAUUUGAAACUGUGGUUCUUGAGUGAAGUAGAGGUAAGCGGAAUUCCUAGUGUAGCGGUGAAAUGCGUAGAUAUUAGGAGGAACAUCAGUGGCGAAGGCGGCUUACUGGGCUUUAACUGACGCUGAGGCUCGAAAGCGUGGGGAGCAAACAGGAUUAGAUACCCUGGUAGUCCACGCCGUAAACGAUGAUUACUAGGUGUGGGGGGACUGACCCCUUCCGUGCCGCAGCAAACGCAAUAAGUAAUCCACCUGGGGAGUACGACCGCAAGGUUGAAACUCAAAGGAAUUGACGGGGGCCCGCACAAGCAGUGGAGUAUGUGGAUUAAUUCGAAGCAACGCGAAGAACCUUACCAGGUCUUGACAUCGUAUGCAUAGCUCAGAGAUGAGUGAAAUCUCUUCGGAGACAUAUAGACAGGUGGUGCAUGGUUGUCGUCAGCUCGUGUCGUGAGAUGUUGGGUUAAGUCCCGCAACGAGCGCAACCCUUACUGUUAGUUGCUACGCAAGAGCACUCUAGCAGGACUGCCGUUGACAAAACGGAGGAAGGUGGGGAUGACGUCAAAUCAUCAUGCCCCUUAUGACCUGGGCCUCACACGUACUACAAUGGCUGUCAACAGAGGGAAGCAAAGCCGCGAGGUGGAGCGAACCCCUAAAAGCAGUCUUAGUUCGGAUUGUAGGCUGCAACCCGCCUACAUGAAGUCGGAAUUGCUAGUAAUCGCAGAUCAGCAUGCUGCGGUGAAUACGUUCCCGGGCCUUGUACACACCGCCCGUCACGCCAUGGGAGUCGGUAACACCCGAAGCCUGUAGUCUAACCGCAAGGAGGACGCAGUCGAAGGUGGGAUUGAUGACUGGGGUGAAGUCGUAACAAGGUA